RNAcentral lists this ribosomal RNA (201 nucleotides) under uncultured eukaryote. RNAcentral's name for it is "partial 18S ribosomal RNA". The record is from RNAcentral.
UCGUGGAGUGAUCUGUCUGCUUAAUUGCGUUUCAGAUAUAUUGAUGAUGGACAACUCAACUAUAUUGCUUAGUUGUAUGGCCUCAUCAUGUGAAAGCAACGAACGUGACCGCAACCCAUUGUUACUAAGCGUGGAUUCGCCUCUUGUAGCUAUGGGGACUGCCAGGGUUUGUCAAACCGGAGGAAGGUUGCGGCAAUAACA